GCCUAAAAUCAAGCCUUUAACUCUUAUUAUUCAACCCCAUUUCUAUUCCUUCCCCUAAAUAAAACAUUUUAUUACUUUAGUAGAGGUGAUCGAAAAAUUAAUUAGCGCUUCACACACAGUACCGCAAGGGAACGAUGAAAUAGCUUUGAAAUAGACUAAAAGCCAAAAACAGCAGAGAUUACCCCUCGUACCUUUUGCAUCAUGGUUUAGCCAGUCCUAACCAAGCAAGGCGAACCCAAGUUUGGUCCCCCGAAACUAGGCGAGCUACUUCGAAACAGCUUUUAGAGCCAACCCAUCUCUGUUGCAAAAGAGUGGGAUGAUUUCCAAGUAGAGGUGAAAAGCCUAUCGAGCCUAGAGAUAGCUGGUUAUUCAAGAAAUGAAUUUUAGUUCACCCUUAAGCCCCCCCCCGGUAACCUAAACACGACUCCCCCGCUUAAGAGCUAUUCAAUUAAGGCACAGCUUAUUUGAAAAAGAAUCCAAUCUAUAAUUCAGGGUAAGCCACGACUGCCUUGUUAAGUGGGCUUGAAAGCAGCCACCUUUCAAAAAGCGUUUAAGCUUAGCAUAUUCUAUUAAUAAAAUUCCACAACACCCCACGAACCCGACACCACAAUUGAAUAACUCUAUAGAUUAUAGAAGAUAUGAUGCUAAAACUAGUAACAAGAAAAAGACCUUUCUCCAAAAUAUAAGUGUAUGUCAAAACGAACUCAUCAUUGACACCUAACGCCCUUGAGCCCAAGAUAAUAACCCACCAAGAAAACCUUAUUACACAAUGACGUUAACCUAACACAAGAAUAUUUCUGGAAAGAUUAAAAGAGGGAGAAGGAACUCGGCAAAUCUAAGCCCCGCCUGUUUACCAAAAACAUCGCCUCUUGAAUAGAUAUAAGAGGUCCAGCCUGCCCAGUGAUACAAUUUAACGGCCGCGGUAUACUGACCGUGCGAAGGUAGCAUAAUCACUUGUUCUUUAAAUGGGGACUAGUAUGAACGGCACCACGAGGGCUUUACUGUCUCCUCCCUUCAAUCAGUGAAACUGACCUCCCUGUGAAGAGGCAGGGAUACCACUAUAAGACGAGAAGACCCCAUGGAGCUUUAAACCCAACAACAGCCCAAACACCACCACCCCAAAAAGUUUUAAGGGUAUUGCUAGUUGGUUUUAGGUUGGGGUGACCGCGGAGUAUAAACUAUCCUCCACGACGAACGGGCCUACCCCCUUACCCAAGAGCUACGCCUCUAAGGAUUAACACAUUAACGUAAAAUGAUCCAAAUAUUUGAUCAACGAACCAAGUUACCCUGGGGAUAACAGCGCAAUCCAUUUUUAGAGCCCCUAUCGACAAAUGGGUUUACGACCUCGAUGUUGGAUCAGGGUAUCCAGGAGGUGCAGCCGCU
Molecule: ribosomal RNA, 1383 nt
Filed under: Euphlyctis cyanophlyctis (skittering frog)
Lineage: Eukaryota; Metazoa; Chordata; Amphibia; Anura; Dicroglossidae
Description: partial 16S rRNA
Rfam family: Bacterial large subunit ribosomal RNA
Source: RNAcentral